AUUUAAAAUGUAAAUAUUUUACUAAGGUAGUAUUAGUUAUGUUCUUGAAACUUAAAAAAUUUGGCGGUAUUUUAGUCUAUUCAGAGGAACCUGUUCUAUAAUCGAUAAUCCACGAUGGACCUAACUUAAAUUUGUUUUUCAGUUUAUAUACCGUCGUUAUUAGAAUAUUUUAUAAGAAUAAUAAUUUUCAAUAAUUUUUAUAAAAAUGUAUAUCAGAUCAAGGUGUAGCUUAUAUUUAAGUAGAAAUGGGUUACAAUAAAUUUAUUUAUACGGAUGUAAAUAUGAAAAAUUUAUUGAAGGUGGAUUUGAUAGUAAAAUUAUAAAGAUUAAUAAUUUGAUUUUAGCUCUAAAAUAUGU
RNAcentral lists this ribosomal RNA (357 nucleotides) under Epistomyia sp. JHK-2012. RNAcentral describes it as "partial 12S ribosomal RNA". Lineage: Eukaryota; Metazoa; Arthropoda; Insecta; Diptera; Heleomyzidae. The record is from RNAcentral.